Cercocebus atys (sooty mangabey) is the source of this 4104-nucleotide RNA transcript. It is a transcript of the gene named dimethyladenosine transferase 2, mitochondrial-like, with no coding region annotated. The transcript has 4 exons. NCBI's taxonomy places the organism in Eukaryota, Metazoa, Chordata, Mammalia, Primates, Cercopithecidae. The record is from RefSeq and is a predicted model, not a curated record.
GUGAAGGAUCCUGUAGAAAUUCAAACCCUAGUGAAUAAAGCCAAGAGAGACCUUGAAGUAAUUCGUCGACAGAUCGCUGUUGCCUGCCUAGUGUGACCCACCUCCAGUCCUCUGGUGCAGCUCUGAUGGAGAAAUCUUUGAUGCCAACUAUAUCCACCUACCAAAGUACACAUUAGUAGAUAUAACCCAAAUAAACUGAUGGUCUUGGGAUCCUUAACAACUUUGAAGAGUGAAAAGAAAUCCUUAGAACAAAAUGUUUGCGACGCUGCCUUACGGCAUUUGGUAUGGAAGCUUUUCCACGUGGAACAGCGUAAGUAUACAAUGGGUCUUCAAAAAGCUCAUGAAAAAUGCAUAUUAUUUUAAAACUAUGCAUGGAUUUCCUUUUUUUUUUGCACCAAAUAAACUUGUACUAACUUGUUGUAGCAUGUCUGAACAGGAUCUAGGUUGAGGCUGUAAGAAGGAUAAGACAUCAGUUUGAAAAGACCCCUCUAUCAGAGAAACAUGAAUCCUGCUAAAAUUGAAGCAAGAAGAAACAUCAAACUUAUGGUGAAGUUUGGGUGGAAGACUGGUGAAAUCACCGAUGCUUUACAAAAAGUUUAUAGGCACGAUGCCCAAUGAAAUCAGCAGUUUGCAAAUGGAUAACUCAUUUUUUAAAAUUCUUUUUUAUUAUUAUUAUACUUUAAGUUCUAGGGUACAUGUGCACAGCGUGCAGGUUUGUUUACAUACCGAUUGACUAAUUUUUUCCCCAGACUCCCCUCCUCUACUUUCUCUCUGUUCCAGUGUCCCCUUUCCAAUGGGAUUAAGUAACGUGCACAGGGUCUGCUGCAGAGACAGCAUGCAGUGGGCCCUGAGUGUGCCGUUUGGAAGGGCUGGGGCAUGGAAGAGCCAAGCUCCAAGGUCAUGGGACAUUUGAACCUAGGACGUCAGAAGAUACCGACAGGUGUUUUGAUGUGAGUUUUCCUCUGGACCAUCACACUGUUGUACUCUUGUGUUUGCGCUCACCCGUGAUCAGUAGUCAUGGCACUGUGAGGUCAGGACAGUAAACAGCGGCCCGUGGUUCUGUGUGGGGUGAGGGGCUGGCACGCUGGCAGGAGGCGUUUGUGAUCCAGGCAAGUCCUGACUGUGUCUGGCUGGCUGCUGCUGCAGGACCUUUCACCGUGUUUACCUUUGCUCUGCUCCCCAGCGGACGACGUUUGACGUCGCAUUUCCAAACAGACCUCUACUUUGACCUCAUGCAGCGUGACGGGGAAUAGACAACAGAAUUGUAAGGCAAACACCUGUUUGUAAAUAAGGAGAAACCCAACCACCUGGGUCAAAAUGAAUGAGCCCAAACCUAAAAUAAAUCAGAGUAGGGGCAAGAGGGUUGCCUUUAUAAAGGAAAAAUAAAACUUAGAGCCUGUUUUCCGUAAGCGUGUGCUUUCCAUAGCACCUUCAGCACUGUGAUAAAUGUAGGGUGUUCUUGUGAGGAGAUUUUAAGUAUGUGAAAGUUAAUUUAUUCCUGCAAUCAUCCCAUAUCCAAACCUUAACAGAUCAGUUCUCACAAAGUUUAAAUCAUCACACUAUAUAUGUAAUCAUUUUUUCACUACUAUGAUGGCUAAAAUUCCUCAACAUAGAUUGUUUGCUACAAACUGGCAUGGGAUGUGUUUUAAUACUGCUUGCUUUGUGUGUAUCAGUAAAGCUUAAAAACGAUUAAGAUUUGUAACUUUUCCUUUUCCCAAAUGUAAAGCUUUCCACAAAAACUACAAAGAAAUCCAUUAGUUUCUCUACAUGGUAGUCAGUCUUUAUAAAACAGUCGCCAAGCCUUGCCUCCUGGUGUUCACACCUCUCCCAUAGCCCAUGUCACCAACAGGAGGCUGCACAAGUGGUAAUGUGUAACGUCCAAGGCUGAGUCACAAAAGAGCUGAGCACUCCCCCAACCCUCCCCUGCUUUGAGGAAGCUGGCCGCCAUGUUGUGAGAACACUCAAGCAGCCCUUCAGAGCAACCAGCAUCAAUUUGCCAGCCAUGUGAGUUAACCUCCUUGGAAGCAGAUUUAAGACUCUGAUGGCUGUAGCCCUGGCUGACAGGUUCAUUGCAACCUCAUGAGAAACUGAGCCAGAACCACCCUAAUAAAACAUUCCCCAAUUCCCUAACCCUCAGAAGCUGUACAAUUGUAAAUAUUUACUGUUGCUAAAGACAUACUAAGUUUGAGGUAAUCUGUUACACAGCCAUAGAUAAUUAACAUACUUUGUGUACAUAAAUAUCUAUAAAUGCUUAGGAAGGAUCUAGAAAGAUGCACGUGGGGAAUGUGGUGAACUUGGAAGAGGUGGAAUAGUAGCAAAGAAAUAAUACUUUUGUCUGUAUCGCUUUAAUUUUUCCUCCAAGUGCAUAUAUGUAUGUUUCAAUUAUAUAAUUAAAAAUAAAUUUAGGGAUUCACUAUAGUAGCAACCCUGGGUAAUCCUUGGAGAGGGCCUGAGAGACAAGGACAUGUGGAUCCCAGUGGCCGGGCUUCCUCCUUGGCUGAGGCUCUCCGCCUUGGCGGGCGCUGGUCACUUUUGCAUUUGAGGGUCUGGAGCUGCGACUGGAAAGCACUUGCCGGCGAGGAACCGCCGUGGCCUGUCUGACUCCUCUCCGCAGCUGUGGCCCAAUCCGGAUUUCAGGAACACGCCAAGGAAGAUGUCUAAGUCCAGCUUAGACUUUAAGCGUUACGUAACCAAUCGGAGAUUGGCUGAGACCCUGGCAAAACAAAACAGACCUCUACACCUAUUGCUGCAGUGCAAUCCGGGUCCUGGAAUCCUGACUCAGGCAUUACUUGAAGUUGAUGCCAAAGCGGUUGCCCUUGAAAGUGACAAAACUUUUAUUGCACAUUUGGAGUCCUUAGGAAAAAAUCUGGAUGGAAAACUACAAGUGAGUCACUGUGACUUCUUUAAAAUAGAUCCUAGAAGUGGUGGAGUAAUAAAACCACCUGCUAUGGCUUCUCAAGGGCUGUUUCAGAAUUUGGGAAUAGAAGCAGUUCCUUGGACAGCAGGCAUCCCUUGAAAAGUAACUGGAAUGUUCCCAAGUAGAGGUGAAGAAAGGGCAUUUUGGAAACCUGCAUAUGACUUGUAUUCCUGUACUUCUAUAUAUAAAUUUGGAUGAAUAGAAUGAAAUAUCUUUAUUGGUGAAAAAGAAUUCCAGAAACUAACAGCAGAUACCCGAAAUCCAGACUUGUAUCAUGUAUGAAGUGUUAUCUGGCACGCAGCUUGUGAGAUUAAGGUUCUGCUCAUGGAGCCUUGGUCAUCAUUUGAUGUGUACACCCGAAAUGGGCGGCUGGAAAACCCAAAGCAUAGGGAAUUAUUAGAACUAUUACAACACAAUCUGUAUCUUAUUCGAAUGACUCCUUGUGGAAAUUUAUUUACCAAGAACUUAACACUUAUUCACUAUAAUAUAUUUUUUCACAUGUUAAAGCACUGUUUUGUGAGGCGCAGUGCCAAUGUAAUAGACCACUUACGUUCACUGACUCCACUUGAUGCAAUGGAUAUAUUGCCGCAAAUAGGAAAAAAGGAAGAAGAGAAAAUAACUAACGUGUACCCUCAAAACUUCAAAAAACUUUUUGAAACUAUAGAGUGUUCCAAAGAUUGUGCUUAUAAAUGGCUAUAUGAUGAAACCCUGGAAGAUAUGUAGCACCUACACUGUUGUUUUUGGUGGAGCAGUUUAUUUGGAAACUAUGACAUGAAAACCAAAUUUGAAAGCUCACAUCCUUUCAGCAGAAGAUAACUGUUCUUGUUUUGCACAUGCCAGGCAGAUCAUUUAGUUGAUAUCAUUGGCAUAUUGGAUGAAAUAGUGGCUGCUAUUUUAUUCACAAUCGAAUAAAAUGAAAACUUCAAUUAAUUGUGGAUUUGAUCAGAUUGAAUUCGUUUUGUUUCAGAUUCCUAUUUAAAUAUUUCACUUUCACUGUUGCUGAUUUUUGCAUCUUCUUGAGGAGCAAGAGUCUGUUUAUUAUUAAGCUUAGAAAGUAAACAAAACCUGAUUUACUGAUUUGUUUUGCAUUUCAGUUGGUUGAAAUGUAUUGUCAAGUACUGUACAAUGAAAUUGUUUAAAUUUUAAUAUGAUUUAAACUUUUUUAGAAAUUAAAAUAUUUUAAAUAA